RNAcentral lists this ribosomal RNA (448 nucleotides) under uncultured bacterium. RNAcentral describes it as "SSU rRNA". It matches the Rfam family "Bacterial small subunit ribosomal RNA", at positions 26 to 518 of the family's 1533-position model. The record is from RNAcentral.
AGGACGAACGCUGGCGGCGUGCUUAACACAUGCAAGUCGAGCGCCCGUAGCAAUACGGGAGCGGCAGACGGGAUAGUAACACGUGGGAACGCGCCCUUCGGUUCGGAAUAACUCAGGGAAACUUGAGCUAAUACCGGAUACGCCCUUACGGGGAAAGAUUUAUUGCCGAAGGAACGGCCCGCGUCCGAUUAGCUAGUUGGUGAGGUAAUGGCUCACCAAGGCGACGAUCGGUAGCUGGUCUGAGAGGAUGACCAGCAUCACUGGGACUGAGACACGGCCCAGACUCCUACGGGAGGCAGCAGUGGGGAAUAUUGGACAAUGGGCGCAAGCCUGAUCCAGCCAUGCCGCGUGGAUGAUGAAGGCCUUAGGGUUGUAAAGUCCUUUUAACGGGGAAGAUAAUGACGGUACCCGUAGAAUAAGCCCCGGCUAACUUCGCGCCAGCAGCCGC